ACUUAAUCCAAUUCUUUUGGGCCCUCAAAUAGGUAUCUCACUAAAUCCAAAUCAAAAUAGAUCUAGUUAAGGUUCAAGGCUAUAGACUUGAUCCAAUCCUUAUCUAAUAAGGAAUUCAAGUCCAAAGAAGAAUUGGAUUUAACCAUGUACUAGCAUGGUUCUUUUAAACUCAAUAAGAUUUUAAUAAAUACUAAUCCUAUUAGAACUUUAUAAGCCC
Molecule: long non-coding RNA, 217 nt
Filed under: Elaeis guineensis (African oil palm)
Lineage: Eukaryota; Viridiplantae; Streptophyta; Magnoliopsida; Arecales; Arecaceae
Description: long non-coding RNA (EGUI_LNC065755)
Source: RNAcentral